Molecule: ribosomal RNA, 494 nt
Filed under: uncultured bacterium
Lineage: Bacteria
Description: bacterial SSU rRNA
Rfam family: Bacterial small subunit ribosomal RNA
Source: RNAcentral
GAUCCUGGCUCAGGAUGAACGCUGGCGGCGUGCUUAACACAUGCAAGUCGAACGAAGCACUUUACUUGAUCUCUUCGGAGUGAUUGUUCUGUGACUGAGUGGCGGACGGGUGAGUAACGCGUGGGUAACCUGCCUUGUACAGGGGGAUAACAGUUGGAAACGACUGCUAAUACCGCAUAAGCGCACAGGACCGCAUGGUCUGGUGUGAAAAACUCUGGUGGUAUAAGAUGGACCCGCGUCUGAUUAGAUAGUUGGUGAGGUAACGGCUCACCAAGUCGACGAUCGGUAGCCGGACUGAGAGGUUGAACGGCCACAUUGGGACUGAGACACGGCCCAGACUCCUACGGGAGGCAGCAGUGGGGAAUAUUGCACAAUGGGCGAAAGCCUGAUGCAGCAACGCCGCGUGAGGGAAGACGGUUUUCGGAUUGUAAACCUCUGUUUUCGGUGACGAACAAAUGACGGUAACCGAGUAGGAAGCCACGGCUAACUACGUG